UUAUGACUAUAGGUAACAUUGCUCUAAUGGAUAAAUUGAAUUAAAUCCCGUGAGGUGAGGAGGCUCUGGGGACCUUUGGUUGCUGGUUGGACUGAAAUUUAAUACCUGUGGAUAACGGAAGUGAUUCAACGAUGGAGAACAACUGCGGAUUGAUAUCGUGCGACAUGCUGGACCGGGCGGCCACCUGGGUCGGGUCGAACGUGGCCUCGGCAUUCUUCGCCUCCCUCGAGCGCUGCUCCUGUAUCAACCUCAGCACCAUCGACAUCGACGACGACGAGAACGACGACCGCCCUCUCAUGUACUAUCCCUCCAAGCCCAUAGAAUCCCAGCCCAUGCCCAAGCCCGCCGCCGCCUCUGAAUCCGAUUAGCUCGCGGUCUAUUCCGUACUUGAUUCACCGUCGUUGAUUCUAUUCCUCUUAUGUAUUUGGAAUUUGUUUUGUAAUAUAUUCCUCAAUUUCGUUGGAAUAAUUAUACAACUUGGGGUAUUAAUUGUUGCUCUAAGAAACAGGCUGUAUUUAUGGUUUUGUUUGAAUCACAAUCUGUACGCUUUUGUUGCAGAAAAACGAAUGGGAAUAUCAAUUUGAUGAAAUCUGCGUGAUAAUUGUGCGGUCUGGUAAAAUGUGAAACACAAAGUUUUGAGUUUUAUUCCAUGGAAUUGCGUAGAGAUUUCGAGCUGUAUGUGAGUUUUGUUCGGUGGAAUUUUCCCGGUAAAUUCUUUUCUCAGAGUUUCAUCAUAUGGGCCAGUAUUAAUGAAAAUUAUACCAACUGCAUAGUUUUUCUCAGUCUUAUCAGGUGGUAUAUGGAAUCUACCUUUUUGACGGGUUAUUUUCUCACAAUUAUUAUCUUUUUGUCACUCAUAGAAUACAUCAUGCUUCUGAGGUAAGGUUUAUAAAAUUUUGCCAUUCGUCUUUUUGGUUUCCCUUGUGGGACAUUAGCAAUCCUUGGACAUUUAAGCCGAUCCCGCUCCCCCCACCCCCCAACAACCUAUUUUAACGAAUGAUUGCUAUUCUUAUAAAUGAUGUAAACUUCUAUAUAUCACAUGGUAGAUUGCCCGAUGAUUCUCUAUUUUCCUCAAUCUUUUUGUUUGCAAACAUUGCCAAACAUUAUGGAUGCUCAAAAAAGGAAGAUCUAGAGCAUUUCGUUGUAUAAUUAGUUAGUUGAGGGGAAGCUGUAGACUCAAUUUUGCUGUAAGUACCUUUGUUCGAGCAUUGUCUAACAUCUUUUGAAUCAGCUUGGUGCUUGUACUAAUAUGAGCGUUAUCACCUGCUAAAGUACUCAUGCAGCACAUAGGAGUUUUUGGACUUAAAUAAGAAGUGUAAAUUUGAGAGAAGUGUGUAUGUAUGUGUGUGCACGCUCUACGAGCAUAAAGUGAUCUUAUACGAGAUUGAUUUGUGGAUAAACUGACCUUCCAUUAAUCCACUCUGCAGUUACAUAGAAUGCCCCUACCUGCAUAACCCAUGCUCCCACGCAUUAAGGUACCGUUUGGAUAAUGAAUUGAGAUGAAAAUUGAAAGUUGAAUAAAAUAUUGUAAGAAUAUUAUUUUUUAAUAUUAUUAUUGUUUGGGAUUUGAAAAUGUUGAAUUGUUUAUAAUGUUUUGUGUGAGAAUUUGGAAGAGUUAUAAUAAUGAGAUGAGAUAAAACACUUUUACUAUCCAAACGGAGCCUAAAUUUCCCUUGUUAUAGGUACCGGUUGGCUGAAGGAUCGGUCAUAAUGCAGCUUAAAGAUCUGCUUUUGAACUUUUUUUCAUUCUAAGCAAGGCUUGUAAGAUGCAAGAGCGAGAUUGUGGCUUGUGUAAGAUACAAGGAAGCGAUAAAUACGUUUUUGGCGAAUGGGAAAAGCCAGAAGCUGACCAAAUGGGGAUCCAGUUCCUGAUUAUUAGCCAAAUUGCAACUGAUCGGGUAUCCAUUCUAGUUCUAUUGGUUUGCAGAUUCUUUCUGUUAAUUUGUUUUUCUAGGCAGGAGAUGCGUUUAGUUGCAUCUGCACUAUGGUUUGUAGAAAAGUUCAAAUAGACAGGAAUUGCAUACAAGAGUGGUCAUUCUAUGUUUCGAUAUAAAGUGAGAAGAUUUCUUUAGGUGAUCAAGUGUUCGCAUGUAAUCCACCUCACCAUUGGAUUAAAUAUCUGCCGAAGGUCUCCUUAUGACUCUAUGAGGAACUGAAAAUCGGUUUGUUUUUUAAGGCUGUUAACAUACACUGUUAGUUGAACAACUCAUUCUGUUCUCAAAGAAAGCAUUCCCAUGCCUGAGGAGCGGAAAGUCUAGAUCUUUGAGGAA
Long non-coding RNA from Carya illinoinensis, 2270 nucleotides. RefSeq lists it as uncharacterized. The transcript is spliced from 2 exons. The record is from RefSeq and is a predicted model, not a curated record. Lineage: Eukaryota; Viridiplantae; Streptophyta; Magnoliopsida; Fagales; Juglandaceae.